AUGGAUCUAGCAGGAUCCUCCUCUGCCGACGGCGAACUACCUCAACGACGGCUCCCGUCUGGAUCAAGGAGUUCGGCAGAUGGUCAAGCAGUGCACCAUGGUCCACGGGCAUGGGAAGUGCGGCGUGUGGGUGCAUGCAGAGAAGGAGCAACAGCCAUGGAGUACUCCAGGAGCAGAUCAUGCCCAAAGGGACCACACCCAGGAGAUGGUCGUGGAUCAAACUGCUGCGCCCCGGGGCUGGUGCUUGUGAUGAGCGACGAGGAGAAGCAGGGACCUGGGAGCGCAUGGAUGAUGGAUGCGCGAAGGAUGAGCGCCUUGGACCUAGAUGAUGGAUUCGCCUGGGGCCUGGGAGCGACGGAGGAUGGACGCCUGGGAGUGCCGAGGAGAAGCGAUUUGAAAUCCUAG
Molecule: ribosomal RNA, 405 nt
Filed under: Triticum aestivum (bread wheat)
Lineage: Eukaryota; Viridiplantae; Streptophyta; Magnoliopsida; Poales; Poaceae
Description: partial small subunit ribosomal RNA
Source: RNAcentral